RNAcentral lists this ribosomal RNA (253 nucleotides) under uncultured bacterium. RNAcentral describes it as "partial 16S ribosomal RNA". It matches the Rfam family "Bacterial small subunit ribosomal RNA", at positions 524 to 776 of the family's 1533-position model. The record is from RNAcentral.
UACGAAGGGGGCUAGCGUUGCUCGGAUUGACUGGGCGUAAAGGGCGCGUAGGCGGUUCGUACAGUCAGACGUGAAAUUCCUGGCUCAACCUGGGGGCUGCGUUUGAUACGUGCGGACUUGAGUGGCGGAAGAGGGUCGUGGAAUUCCCAGUGUAGAGGUGAAAUUCGUAGAUAUUGGGAAGAACACCGGUGGCGAAGGCGGCGACCUGGUCCGAUACUGACGCUGAGGCGCGAAAGCGUGGGUAGCAAACCGG